AGUCGAACGGCAGCACGGGAGCAAUCCUGGUGGCGAGUGGCGAACGGGUGUUUAAUAUAUCGGAACGUGCCCAGUCGUGGGGGAUAACGCAGCGAAAGCUGUGCUAAUACCGCAUACGAUCUCUGGAUGAAAGCGGGGGACUCGUAAGAGCCUCGCGCGAUUGGAGCGGCCGAUAUCAGAUUAGCUAGUUGGUGGGGUAAAGGCCCACCAAGGCGACGAUCUGUAGCUGGUCUGAGAGGACGACCAGCCACACUGGAACUGAGACACGGUCCAGACUCCUACGGGAGGCAGCAGUGGGGAAUUUUGGACAAUGGGCGCAAGCCUGAUCCAGCAAUGCCGCGUGCAGGAUGAAGGCCUUCGGGUUGUAAACUGCUUUUGUACGGAACGAAAAGGUCUGCCUUAAUACGGUGGGCCCAUGACGGUACCGUAAGAAUAAGCACCGGCUAACUACGUGCCAGCAGCCGCGGUAAUACGUAGGGUGCGAGCGUUAAUCGGAAUUA
This 500-nucleotide ribosomal RNA is filed under the name uncultured bacterium. RNAcentral's name for it is "bacterial SSU rRNA". It matches the Rfam family "Bacterial small subunit ribosomal RNA", at positions 60 to 553 of the family's 1533-position model. The record is from RNAcentral.